CCCAUCAGGCCUGGGGUGGCACGUACACCUGUGCUAUCUGCUACCAGCUGCCUCCUGCCCUGCCCCUUCCUAGGCAAAGGCCAGAAAACGGGGUCCUGACCCUCACCCCCAUUCCCUAGGGAGCAGCAGGAAAAUUCUUUCCGAGUGGAAUGGAGUGAUGAUAGUCCUCAGAAAGAGGACUCUGAGGAGCGUGGACUCAGUUCUCCUGGGCUAGACCUGUGCCCCUCCUCCUCUCACUGCUCCAGCAAGAUAAGUAUUUCCUACCUUGAGCCACACCCGGCCUGGUGCGCCCGAGGCCCAGACACCAGGCCCAGGUGAGAGGGCACUCCAGCAGGUCUCAGCCCAGACCCAAGCCAGGCUGGGCACUUGGCAGCUGGGAAGGGGGGCCAGCCUCCUGCAUCGAGUAGGAACAGCUCACUCUCUCGGGGUGGGGCCACCCACCACAUUCCUAGCCAGGGUGAUGAGGGAGGAGCCCUUACCUGGCCCUGUUCUGUGAGGGGCAGGUCGAAUGGGGAGCUAUCUACCCAGCCCAACUGGCCCUCCUCCCCAUGCUCCUCCUUGGUGGAGAGGCCACCUCCCUUUCUUUCCUAGAGACCCGCCUCUCCGGCUCCCUCCUCUCCAGGCCAUUCUCAGCUCCCACCUGACUCUGGCAAUGUUCUGGGAAAGGGAAGCCUUGAGCUACCCAGAGUCCUCCAAAGAUGAGGCCAGCCCAUCUUUAUCCUCUGGGCCGUAACCGACAUCCUCCAGCCAGCUCUGGGCAGCCUUGGGGCCAGCAUGGCCAUGCUUGCUUCCCCUCCCCAGGUCGUUUCAAAGAGUAGUCCUUGCGACCGGUCCACAAGCAAGCCCUGAACUCAUCUGCAGGGGCAGCAGAGGCGAGGGCUCAAGCCCGGCCUGGGAGCUAGAUAUGUGUUCUCAUCCUGCCUAGAGCCAGCUGACUCCGUGAGUCUGUCCCUUCCGGGCCUCAAUUCUGCAUGUGCCAAAGGUGAGGAAGGGGCCCUUCCGGCCCGUCCCAUAGCCCACCAUGCUAUGGGCCGCGGCUAGCGCCCGGACGGAGGACCGCCUGGAAGUCCUCCUCUGCCACGACCACCUUCUCACACCCAGCAGCGACCCCAGAGCCCGCCUGAGCAUCCAUCUCCCUCGGGCCAGCCGCGGCCGGCCCCCACCUCUCCCAGGUGGAGGAGCUGCAGAAACGGACCUGCUGCUGCCGGGUGGCGCCUCGACCUGAGUGCUCAGGUACAGACAUGGAAGGCCGGGGUCUCAAGGAAAUGGGCUGAGGGUCUGCGUACACUUUGGAAAAAAAGACUCAAGUAGUUUGAGAGUCUACUGGACAAAAGUUUAAGAGCAUCUGAAUUCCUCUUACAGGUUUUGAAAGUGGGGCAGGUAACUUCCCCAGGGGCGGGGCCUACAGAGACGCAGGGCUCUGCCCCAUUCCCUAGGCCAGGCCCGCCCACUGUCCCCAGCACCGGACACACAUGCCCAGGCCCUAGGCAGCCUCAGGGUGGGCUCUGCAUCAAAGAAGCCACAGCCCUCUGGGGGGCUGGGCCCAGGUCAACACCAGCAGGGGCUGGACAAGGAGACCACCUCCCUCCAGCCCUGCCAGCUCAGCCGCAGAUGCUCAGCUCAUUCUCACUGGCAGCAUGAAGCCCUGGGGCCUCCCAGACCUCACGGCCUCCUCUCAGCGUCCCCAGCUCAUCUUGUCUCUGCCGUAGGAACUAAUAGAGAAUCUGUUCUCAUCUCACCAGGGCCUGCGCUCCUGGGCACACACAGGACAGCAGACACCUGCCCCUGCGCUCAGAGCCGGCCUCUGCUCGGGGCCCCCAGGACCAGCAGAGUCACCUUUGUUGCCCUAUACACCCAAGGCAGCGGCUAGCUGGGAAGCCACUGGUCACCUGAUAAUCAGAGCCACUUAUCAAACACGACAGGCCCCACUCUGAGCACUUUACACAUAUUGACCCAAUCAGCCCUCACGACAACCCUUUGAGAAAAGCACUGUUAAUCUACCCAUUUUACAGAUGAGGAAUCUGAGCCACAGACACCAAGUAACUUGCCUAAGGUCACUAGCUAGUAGGCAGCUGAAGCUGGCAUUCCAAUCCAGGCUGUCUGGCUGGCCCAGGCGCUUGAGCCUCCCUGGCCUGGUGAGAUUUCUGCCUACAUAGGAGCCCAAAGUUCAUCUUGCAGGCAGCCCCCACCUAUCUUCCUCUCCUUCCUCCUGGGUACUCACACCCGGGCGGCCCAGCCUUGCCCUUCCUAGCAGAGCCCCUCCUUCCAAAAAGACCCCCCGCCUCAGUGGUUCCUACUCACCCACCUCCCAAACAAACUCCUGCCCCCAACUCCCACUCUCCCAGCCCUGGAUGAGUCCAAGGGGCUGACACAGGUUCUGGAGCUUACAAAGGAGAAAGCAGGCAAAGGGGAGCUCCCUGGGGCUGAUGGGCCCUCGGCACACCUCACAUUCGUGCCAUGUAGACAGAGCCACAGAGGGCCAGGCCAGCCUGCCGCUCAGGGAGGAGAGGAUGAGCAUGUGAGACCACCUCCCGACCUGAAGAUCCUCUUCUUCCCUGAGAGACCACAAGCUCCCUGAGCCCUCCAGGAACCCAGGAACGUGUGAUGGAGGAAUUCCCUACUCCAAGACCUGCCCUCCCCACCUGCCCUGCAGGGUCUCCACCGCCCGGCUUCUGCCCACAUCCGGCGGUGGAGGCCCGAGCACUGCCCCAGCCCACUCGCAGAAGGACCCAGGCAGGGCAACCACCUGAGCUCUCUGGGCACAGGACUGGCCCAGAUGCGGCCGGCUCAACCGCACAAUUUUCCUGUUAAGCAGCACUCCGUGUUCCCAGCCCCACUGUUCUCCUGCAUCGCAGAGCGACUGAGAAUGGGAGUCAGAAGCUCAGCAGUGGGGUCUUAGACUUUCAUCUGAAUUCCACUUUCAUCUGCCUUCAGUCCGAUGACUCGCUGCCCCAGCCAGCCCAUCAGCUCUCAGGCCUAGGCCCCCAGGCGACGCCAUCACUGCGAAACAGUGUCAGGUGACCCUGCUGACCACUGGGGGCCCACAGAGGAUGAGACGGAAGGAGCUCCAUGGUGGACGAGGCCCUCCCCGUGCUGGGCUGCAGGGCCCUCAGCUGCCAGAUGAGAAGGGCUAGGAGGGCUCUGAGCCGUCCGCGGAGCCACUGUCCUCUGGGAACUUACAACACCAGAGCCAUGAGACCCCCGGGAGGACCCCUCCCUGGAGAGCAAGGAGAGCCAGGCCAGGGUCAGUCAGCAGUAGCUCUGCGCGGCCAGUCUCAGGGCCGCCAGGCACGGCCAGUGCACGACACGCAGUGGCAGAGGUGGAAGUCCCUGGUACCCUGUCUGCAAAUGCCCACGCGGCCCAGGCAAACAGGUCUCACGCUCUCCUCCCUGGGCUUUCUGUGCCCCCUCCUCACCCCCCAGCCUGCCCUGCUCACUCACGCCCACCACGUUCCUGAAGUCUUUGACCUUGGUGUCCAACCCCUACUCCAAGCGCGCCGGGCCCCAACCGUGCCGAGCUGGCACAACGCGAGGCUGGGGCCCGGGGAAGCCCACUGGCUCUGGGGGUCAGUGCUGAUGGUGGGACAACCCCAGAGGAGGCUGAGCUGGUUGGUGGGGAAGGAGGAAGCUGAGAGCAACACGCAGCCAGGCUCAUCGGGUUUAAAGACAGGAGAGAGAGCAAAUAUUCAACUAUAUAAAAAUGAAAAGUCCUGAACGAGAAAAAACGGUAAAAACCCUCAGAGGAAUACAAUUAAAGGGAAAUCAACAUCUGGGGGAAAAAAACAUAACUAUGUCAAUGGGUUACUAUUAAUACAUACAAAGCUCACAGACAUUGCUUAAGAAAACAAACACAAAAUCUGGACAAGAGUAAAGAUAGUACAAAUAGCCAAUACACAUGGGAACCACUCAUGCUCCUUUGGUCUUCCAAGAAAUAGAAAUUUAAAAUGAAAUCUACUUCUCACCGAAGAAAGCCCUAAGAGCUGGCUUCUGUGUUAGGGAGGCCCCUGUGGCAGCAAGCGUGCAUGUGGGGAGUGGGUCCUCUGGUCCUGCUGUCGGAGCCAUCACCGCUUCACUCUCAUCUGGCUGGACAGCAGCUCAGCCCAGCGCACAAAGGGGAAAAGGGCCCUUUGCCCCUCAUGCUAAUGUCGCAGGGGCCCCUACAGAGACCAUCUGACACAGAGGGAAAGGUUUAGGCCCAAAGAAGUCCAGCACUUCCAAAAAAGUGAAGCAACCCCAAGUAUCCCACGACAUGGAAAUGAGGAAGUAAAGCAUUGCGUCUCUAGAAAGUGGAAUAUCGUGCAACCAUUUAAACUAAUGUCUGCAGAGACUCUCUUACCUAGUAUAUUGCAACACUUUGGGUCUUUUUUUUCCCUCCCCAAAGCCCCAGUGCAUGGUUGUAUAUCCUAGUUGCAAGUUGUUCUAGUUCUUCUACGUGAGCGGCAGCCAGAGCACGGCAACUGGUGGUGUGCGUGGUGUGGUUCCUUGCCCAGGAAUUGAACCUGGGCCGCUGAAGCGGUGAGCGCCAAACUUUAACCUCUAGGCCAUCAGGGCUGGCUCAUGAUUAUUUUUUUUAAAAGCAAGAUACAAAACUGUAUGUAACGUGGCCCCACGCAAAAAAUGCAGCAAGAAAGGACCACAUCAAAAUGAGGACAGGACCGACUGUGAUACUUAUGACCCACAGUGAGUAUUUUUCUGCCUCUUCUUGUUUUUCUGUGAAAUGCAUAUUUUCUGAAAUGUUUAUAGAGAGUAUAUUACUUUUGUAAAAAGAAAAAGAAACAGAAGACCGUUUGACCUAAGGAUGAGGGCUCGACGAGGGACAGAGAACUUGCUCGCCAGGAAAAUGAACGGGCUUGCCUCUCCUGGCUGAACCCUGGGUGCCCCAAAGCCUGCCACACCUGCAGCUGCUCUGGGUCACACAUUCUAACGAGGGCUCAGGAGAGCUUUGUGAUCCUGGCUCUGGGUGGGACACAAAAGAAGUGGACUAUGACUAAUAGAUACAAUGAAUGUACGCUUUGCCCAAAUUUUAAAAAUUUUCUUUUAGGGUGUAAAACCACAUUCACAACACACUCAGAAAACUGCUCUUGGCCCCCUGCCCUCCUCCCUUUCCUUCAUGAGGAAGCUUCCAGAAUGAGUGUCCACUCCCCACACCAUCUCAACAGGACUCGGCCUCCCGCCCUUCCCCAAACUGCCCCAGCCUGGGCAGCAAGGAGCAGCCGCACACCGAAUGUUCUUGUAGCCAGCCCCGGUCCAUGCGACGGUUCAGCUCACUCUUCUGUUAGCUUCAUAAUAUUUCACAGUAUGUAUGUUCCAGCCACCAUCCAUGUCCUACUGAGGGGCAUUCCAGUUGCUUCCAUUUUUUUUUUAAUCACUACAAGCAAGGCUGUAAUCAAUACCUGUGUACCUGUGAGUCUCUUUCCACGGGACACAUGCCCCAAAGUAGGACAGUUGGGUUCAAAGGCAUAUGAAUUUUUCAUGUUAAUGGAUAAUGCCUGAUUACUUUUCCAAACAGAAGGCAGCAAUUCAUACCCCCAUUCUCCCACCGGCCAUGUACGAGAACACCCAUUCUGCCACCCUCACCAGCAUCAGAAGCCAUCCGUGUACUUUCUGCCAUGCGGACAGGGACACAGGCCCUGCUCUUGUGAUCUGCAUUUCCCUGAUUACUCGGGGUUAAGCAUCUUUUCAUAGUCAUCGACAAUCUGCAUUUCCUCUUCUGUGAACCAUCUGCCUGGUCCUAUUCUUUGCCUGCUUGUCUUUGGGGUUUUAAAAAUCCUUUCCUUAAAACUGGCAGGAACUCUUUGUAUAACAGGCAUCUUAACUAUUUAUCUUGCAUAUGCACACAGCAAGCAAAUUCUCCUACUCUAUUCCACAGAAAUGUAAUUAAAUCUGUUAAUUUUGUAAUUGAUUAUAUUAUAACAUCUGAACAGUAACAGCAACAAAAAUCCACUAGACGGUAGUGAUGCUAAGAGGAGGCGGGGUGAGGAGAGGAUCUUCUUGAUAGAAGAAUACAGCUAAAUCCUGCAGAAGGCACGUCCGCUGAGAAGAUCACCCGUGGUAACUCCAGUGUACUGGAUUCAGGCCUGGAUCAUUGAGGCCCAGGAAAACGAGUGUGACACUGCUAUUACGUUAUGUGUAAGAACGGCCUGCCCCUAGGAAAUGCCCGCUGAAGUGCCUGGAGGGGGAACACCCACCCCGUCUACAACUACUGACCACAACCACUACCUAAAAGAGAGAGUGAGAGGGAGGGACCGGGGAAAGCAGCCGGAGUAAUCUUCAAGGUGGCCAUUUUUCAAAAUAAAAAGCCGGAGGGAAAUCUUGUCAGUCUUUUCCUCUAUAAAUUGUGGGUUUCCUAUCUGGCUUAAGAGGGUCCAUCUUAUCCCAAGAUUAGAUAAUAUUCUUCCAAUUUUCUCCUCUAUCUUAAAAAGCUUUAUCUUUCUCGUGGCACAGUCGCGCACGCUGCUCAGAGCCCAGGCUCUGAGACCAGGCUGCGUGGUUCAGGUCCCGCCUGUGCCGUUAGUAGCGAGCAAAUUCCUCUACAUCUCUGUGCCUCGGUUUCCUCCUUUGCAAGAUGCGGUAACACUUCCCCCGUGGGGCUGUCCUGGGAAUUACAAGCAAGCACAGGCAGCAGGGCCUGGCCCGCAAUGAGCACGAACAGAAGCUAAUCUCG
Equus quagga is the source of this 6664-nucleotide long non-coding RNA. RefSeq lists it as uncharacterized. The transcript has 3 exons. The record is from RefSeq and is a predicted model, not a curated record. NCBI's taxonomy places the organism in Eukaryota, Metazoa, Chordata, Mammalia, Perissodactyla, Equidae.